Molecule: ribosomal RNA, 825 nt
Filed under: uncultured bacterium
Lineage: Bacteria
Description: bacterial SSU rRNA
Rfam family: Bacterial small subunit ribosomal RNA
Source: RNAcentral
CAUGCAAGUCGAACGAGAAUCUACUGAAAGAGUUUUCGGACGAUGAAAGUAGAGGAAAGUGGCGGACGGGUGAGUAACGCGUGAGGAACCUGCCUUGAAGAGGGGGACAACAGUUGGAAACGACUGCUAAUACCGCAUGAAGCAUAGGGGUCGCAUGAUUCUUAUGCCAAAGAUUUAUCGCUUCAAGAUGGCCUCGCGUCUGAUUAGCUAGUUGGCGGGGUAACGGCCCACCAAGGCGACGAUCAGUAGCCGGACUGAGAGGUUGAACGGCCACAUUGGGACUGAGAUACGGCCCAGACUCCUACGGGAGGCAGCAGUGGGGAAUAUUGGGCAAUGGGCGCAAGCCUGACCCAGCAACGCCGCGUGAAGGAAGAAGGCUUUCGGGUUGUAAACUUCUUUUAAGAGGGAAGAGCAGAAGACGGUACCUCUAGAAUAAGCCACGGCUAACUACGUGCCAGCAGCCGCGGUAAUACGUAGGUGGCAAGCGUUGUCCGGAUUUACUGGGUGUAAAGGGCGUGCAGCCGGGUCUGCAAGUCAGAUGUGAAAUCCAUGGGCUCAACCCAUGAACUGCAUUUGAAACUGUAGAUCUUGAGUGUCGGAGGGGCAAUCGGAAUUCCUAGUGUAGCGGUGAAAUGCGUAGAUAUUAGGAGGAACACCAGUGGCGAAGGCGGAUUGCUGGACGAUAACUGACGGUGAGGCGCGAAAGUGUGGGGAGCAAACAGGAUUAGAUACCCUGGUAGUCCACACUGUAAACGAUGAAUACUAGGUGUGCGGGGACUGACCCCCUGCGUGCCGCAGUAAACACAAUAGGUAUUCCACCUGGGG